This 429-nucleotide ribosomal RNA is filed under the name uncultured bacterium. Its description in RNAcentral is "bacterial SSU rRNA". It matches the Rfam family "Bacterial small subunit ribosomal RNA", at positions 355 to 775 of the family's 1533-position model. The record is from RNAcentral.
UGAGGAAUAUUGCGCAAUGGGGGCAACCCUGACGCAGCAACGCCGCGUGAGUGAGGAAGGUUUUCGGACCGUAAAGCUCUGUCGAGCGGGAAGAAAUGCAUGGUGGCUAAUAUCCAUCAUGCUUGACGGUACCGCUAGAGGAAGCACCGGCUAACUCCGUGCCAGCAGCCGCGGUAAUACGGGGGGUGCAAGCGUUGUUCGGAAUUAUUGGGCGUAAAGAGCGUGUAGGCGGCUGAAUAAGUCAGAUGUGAAAUCCCUGGGCUUAACCCAGGACGUGCAUUUGAAACUAUUCAGCUUGAGUAAGGGAGAGGAAAGUGGAAUUCCUGGUGUAGAGGUGAAACUCGUAGAUAUCAGGAGGAACACCGGUGGCGAAGGCGACUUUCUGGCCCUAUACUGACGCUGAGACGCGAGAGCGUGGGUAGCAAACAG